RNAcentral lists this ribosomal RNA (590 nucleotides) under uncultured bacterium. RNAcentral describes it as "bacterial SSU rRNA". It matches the Rfam family "Bacterial small subunit ribosomal RNA", at positions 367 to 982 of the family's 1533-position model. The record is from RNAcentral.
GACASGGGCGCACGGAGNKCCAGCCAUGCCGCGUGAGUGAUGAAGGCCUUAGGGUUGUAAAGCUCUUUUGGCGGGGACGAUAAUGACGGUACCCGCAGAAUAAGUCCCGGCUAACUUCGUGCCAGCAGCCGCGGUUAAUACGAAGGGGACUAGCGUUGUUCGGAAUCACUGGGCGUAAAGCGCACGUAGGCGGAUAUGUCAGUCAGGGGUGAAAUCCCGGGGCUCAACCUCGGAACUGCCCUUGAUACAGCAUGUCUUGAGUCCGAUAGAGGUGGGUGGAAUUCCUAGUGUAGAGGCGAAAUUCGUAGAUAUUAGGAAGAACACCGGUGGCGAAGGCGGCCCACUGGAUCGGUACUGACGCUGAGGUGCGAAAGCGUGGGGGAGCAAACAGGAUUAGAUACCCUGGUAGUCCACGCCGUAAACGAUGGAUGCUAGCCGUCGGAUAGCUUGCUAUUCGGUGGCGCACUAACGCAUUAAGCAUCCCGCCUGGGAGUACGGCCGCAAGUUAAAACUCAAAGGAAUUGACGGGGGCCGCACAAGCGUGGAGCAUGUGGUUAAUUCGACGCAACGCAAGRACCUUACCAGCUCUU